RNAcentral lists this long non-coding RNA (2186 nucleotides) under Zea mays. Its description in RNAcentral is "long non-coding RNA (ZMAY_LNC003556)". The record is from RNAcentral. Lineage: Eukaryota; Viridiplantae; Streptophyta; Magnoliopsida; Poales; Poaceae.
GGCUCAUACACCUCACCCCACUUAUGUUUCCUUGCAAUAGAUCACAUUCUUGGAUUUCUGGUGGAGACCAUUUCUUGGUAAAAAAUCCAUAUGUGUUAGCCUUCGGUAUUAUUGAAAAUGGUCGUUCGUGGCUAUUUUCAACAAAAAUAGGAGUUAUGUGGCCAUUGAUCAUCAACCAGAGGCUCAUACACCUCACCCCACUUAUGUUUCCUUGCCAUAGGUCACAUUCUUGGAUUUCUGAUGGAGACCAUUUCUUGGUCAAAAACUGUAGGUGUUAGCCUUCGGUAUUAUUGAAAAUGGUCGUUCAUGCUAUUUUCGACAAAAUAGGGGUUGUGUGGCCAUUGAUCAUCGACCAGAGGCUCAUACAGCACACCACACACAUGUUUCCUUGCCAUAGAUCACAUUCUUCCAUUCCUGGUGGAGACCAUACCUUGGUCAAAAAUCUGUAGGUGUUAGCCUUCGGUAUUAUUGAAAAUGGUCGUUCAUUCUAUUUUCGAUAAAAAUAGGGAUUGUGCGGCCACUUAUCAUCGACCAGAGGCUUGUACACCUCACCCUACAUAUGUUUCCUUGCCAUAGAUUAAAUUCUUGGAUUUUUGGUGGAGACAACUUCAUGGUCAAAAAUCCGUAUGUGUUAGCCUUCGGUAUUAUUGAAAAUGGUCGUUCAUGGCUGUUUUCGCCAAAAAUGGGGGUUGUGUGGCCAUUGACCAUCGACCAGUGUCUUGUACACCUCACCCCACAUAUGUUUCCUUGUCAAAGAUAACAUUCUUGGAUUUUUGGUGGAUACCAUUACUAGGUCAAAAAUCUGUAAUUGUUUGCCUUCGGUAUUAUUGAAAAUGGUCGUUCAUGCUAUUUUGGACAAAAAUGGGGGUUGUGCGGCAAUUGAUCAUCGACCAGAGGCACGUACACUUCACCCCACGUAUGUUUUCUUGCCAUAGAUCACAUUCUUGGAUUUUUUAUGAAACCAUUUCUUGGUCAAAAAUCCAUAGGUGUUAGCCUUCGUUAUUAUUGAAAAUUGUCGUUCAUGCUAUUUUCGACAAAAAUGGGGGUUGUGUGGCCAUUAAUCAUCGACCAGUUACUCGUACACCACACCACACAUAUGUUUCCUUGCCAUAGAUCACAUUCUUGCAUUUCUGGUGGAGACCAUAUCUUGGUCAAAAAUCUGUAUGUGUUAGCCUUCGGUAUUAUUGAAAAUGGUCGUUCAUGCAAUUUUCGACAAAAAUGGGGAUUGUGCGGCCACUUAUCAUUGACCAGAGGCUUGUACACCUCACCCAACAUAGGUUUCCUUGCCAUAGAUUAAAUUCUUGGAUUUUUGGUGGAGACCAUUUCUUGGUAAAAAAUCCAUAGGUGUUAGCCUUCAUUAUUAUUGAAAAUGGUCUUUCAUGCUAUUUUCGACAAAAAUGGGGGUUGUGUGGCCAUUGAUCAUCGAGCAGUUACUCGUACACCUCACUGCACAUAUGUUUCCUUGCCAUAGGUCACAUUCUUGGAUUUCUGGUGGAGACCAUUUCUUAGCCAAAAAUCUGUAGCCUUUGGCAUUAUUGAAAAUGGUCGUUCAUGGUUAUUUUCGACAAAAAUGGGGGUUCUGUGGCCUUUGAUCAUUGACCAGAGGCUCGUUCACCUCACCCCACAUAUGUUUCCUUGCCAUAGAUCACAUUCUUGGAUUUCUGGUGGAGACCAUUUCUUGGUCAAAAAUCCAUAGGUGUUAGCCUUCGGUAUUAUUGAAAAUGGUCGUUCAUGGCUAUUUUCGACAAAAAUGGGGGUUGUGUGGCCAUUGAUCAUUGACCAGAGGCUCGUUCACCUCACCCCACAUAUGGUUCUUGCCAUAGAUCACAUUCUUGGAUUUCUAGUGGAGACCAGUUCUUGGUCAAAAAUCCAUAGGUGUUUGCCUUCGGUAUUAUUGAAAAUCGUCGUUCAUGAUAUUUUCAACAAAAAUAGGUGUUGGGUGGCCUUUGAUCGUCUACCAAAGGCUCGUGCACCUCUCCCCACAUAUGUUUCCUUGCCAUAGAUCACAUUCUUGGAUUUCUGGUGGAGACCAAUUCUUAGUGAAAAAUCAGUUGGUGUUAGCCUUCAAUAUUAUUGAAAAUAGUCGUUCAUGCUAUUUUCGACCAUAAUGGGGCUUGUGUGGCCAUUUAUCAUUGACCAAAGGCUCGUACACCUCACCCCACAUAUGUUUCCUUGCCAUAGAUCAC